Molecule: ribosomal RNA, 496 nt
Filed under: uncultured bacterium
Lineage: Bacteria
Description: partial 16S ribosomal RNA
Rfam family: Bacterial small subunit ribosomal RNA
Source: RNAcentral
GAUGAACGCUGGCGGCGUGCCUAAUACAUGCAAGUCGAGCGAACGGACGAGAAGCUUGCUUCUCUGAUGUUAGCGGCGGACGGGUGAGUAACACGUGGAUAACCUACCUAUAAGACUGGGAUAACUUCGGGAAACCGGAGCUAAUACCGGAUGAUAUUUUGAACCGCAUGGUUCAAAAGUGAAAGACGGUCUUGCUGUCACUUAUAGAUGGAUCCGCGCUGCAUUAGCUAGUUGGUAAGGUAACGGCUUACCAAGGCAACGAUGCAUAGCCGACCUGAGAGGGUGAUCGGCCCCACUGGAACUGGGACCCGGUCCAGACUCCUACGGGAGGCAGCGGUAGGGAAUCUUCCGCAAUGGGCGAUAGCCUGACGGAGCAACGCCGCGUGAGUGAUGAAGGUCUUCGGUUCGUAAACCUCUGUUAUUAGGGAAGAACAUAUGUGUAAGUACCUGUGCCCAUCUUGACGGUACCUAUCAGAAAGCCACGGCUAACUACGUG